This is a long non-coding RNA of Anguilla anguilla (European eel), 433 nucleotides long. RefSeq lists it as uncharacterized. The record is from RefSeq and is a predicted model, not a curated record. Lineage: Eukaryota; Metazoa; Chordata; Actinopteri; Anguilliformes; Anguillidae. The transcript has 4 exons.
UAUAUAACUGGAUGUACAAUGGCAGUGUCCUACCCAGGAAUCGAAUCUGUGACCUUUAGUAUGGUUCCUUCCAUUCCGCUGCAUGGAAUGGAAGUAUACUACACUGCCACCGAAAAGGUCUUUGAAGGCCCUCUUCCCAUACACUCCCUUCCAAUUUAUUCCCAGGGUAUUGGAUAUGAGCCAACCCAGUAUGUUCCAAACAGAGGAUUUGGUGUUUCUACCUCCAAUGGCUCCUAGAUUGGAGGAAGCCUGAUGGUCACCAGACUCUUCUGAGUGAGGCGACCUCUGUAGUGGUGCGGAUGGCCUGUUCGAUAAGGAGUUGGGAAUUUGAAUAAGAGGAUCCUCAGGCAAACUCGUUGGACUGAAGGUCGAAGGUGGAACAGUGAACGGACAAGUUUUUGCCUUGCCUCUUGAUAGGUUUCUGAAAAUUUGA